RNAcentral lists this long non-coding RNA (9880 nucleotides) under Capsicum annuum. RNAcentral describes it as "long non-coding RNA (CANN_LNC001601)". The record is from RNAcentral. Lineage: Eukaryota; Viridiplantae; Streptophyta; Magnoliopsida; Solanales; Solanaceae.
AUAUUCUUACCUCACCCUCACUCCCUACCCACCCACCCAACUUUUUAAACCCAUUCAAAUUUUUUUUUUUUUACAAGAGGUAAAUAUUUAUAAGCUAAUAUUUUUUAGACUAAGCGGUUAAAUUGAGCGGGUCAAGACCCAACUUGAUUCUUACCCAUUUCUACACAACCCAUUUCAAACCAAAGUGAAUUUAGGUGGGUCACGACCCAACCUGAUAUCUAAUUCAACCUAUUUAAUAUCUUUAUUCUUAACCUAACCCGCCCAUUUGACAUCCUUAAUAAUGACCAAUAACGCCACAAGAAAUCCAUGUAAGUAAGUAAAAUAUCAGCUAUAUCAUUAUCAAUCACAAAAUCAACAACUAUAGCAUAAGUAGAAACUACAUCCAUCUCAAUCUCACAAUUAGGAUACCAUUUGUUCAUUAUUCAUUUUAACCAUAUAACCUCUCUCAAUUCAUACUAAUAUAUACACAAUAGACUUAUUUUUUCCAACUAUUCAUAACCUAUAGGGGACAUUUUUAGUCCAUGUACCAUACCGGUAUGGCAUCUGAUCCUUCAUAAUAAAUGACACAAUAUCCAUAUCCAAACCAAUAUUGCCCAAUAUUCCAUACUCAUAAUAUACAUAUCUUAUGAGAUAUCCUAUCUCUCAGGAUUCAUAAUAAUGUACUAUAUUUACUAACACACAUUAAUCAUGAAUUAAUUCAUUCAAGUAUAAACAACUCAACAAUCAUUAAUUACAAUCAUGCUUGAAGAUCUGUCAAUAAACAUCUGAUUUAGGAACAUACAAUAAAAGUUAGUCUACAAUCUAAUUAAACUGUAACCUACCUUAACCAUCGAUCCCAUAAGCAAGUUAGUUAGCAAGAGCCUUGUCUUUCCUCAUCACCAUAGAAUGUUCAAAGUAUAAAAAAACAAUAGAGAGUAUACAUAUUUGUUCUUUAAUUCUAAUCCUUAGGUAUCAAACCCCUCUGACUUUUACCUUUGAUCAUAGCCUAAAUUAUAGUAUAAAGUUUUUUCAAUCAUUAAUUUACCCUAGAUCCCCAUAAUUCACAUUCAUAAGAUGUCAUAACCAAAAUGGUUAUGAUUAGUUCCCAUUCUUACUUAUGCUAGGAGAAUCAUGUGUAACCCAAAACCUCAAAUAACCUAAUUUUAUAACCCAAGACUACCCCCUAGUUUUAACAUGAUGCUUAAGGCCACAAGUGACAUUAAGCUAACCCAUAAUCUGGUAUCUGUGGUGAGAACUAAGUAAAAUAAUAAUAAAGCAUUAUAAGUGAAAGCUAAGCAAAUAAAAUUUUUCUUAAUAUGUAAUACUAUAAUGAUACCCAACUUGUCUGAACUACUGAUAAAAACUAAAAACAAGUCUAACCAUAUGAAAGCCUAAAAAACAUAAGAAGUUGAUGGGACAAACCCCUAACUAACUCUGACAAAGAAGUACUGAAAAUAACUGCAAGUAACUUGUCCUCAAAGGAUGAGGACUCACCAUAACUACUACUGAGCGGUACUAAGAUGACUUAUAGCGAUUAAUGAAUGGAGAUGACUUAGGGCGAUUAAUGAACUAAGUGUCCGAACCUAUGUUAUAAGACAACAUAGUGCAAGAGAGAGUAUGCGAUCAGUACUUUGAAUGCAAUGGUAAGGGAGAUAUGGACAACUAAGAUACAUAUAAAUAUUGAUCUUAAAUGUAUGAACAUGUAAAUAAAUACAAGAACAAGUAAAAUAUGUGCUGCAAUAGCCUUUAAAAUUGAAUAGCUGAAUGACCAAUAAACUGAACACUUGGUUAUGCAAACCUAAUCUGAUAUAGUGUAAAUACUAAACUGAGUCUGUGGGAGCUAACUACAAAUGACAUGCCCCUAUCUGAGCUAAAUGGGGUCCAACCUGUAACCCCAGUUGGAAGGGUAUUAGUACCUUUUCACGGGGACUAAUACAUAGUUGACAAUAUGUAUUCCAAAAGACUGAUAUCCUAAAGGACGAGGGUGUCAUGCCUCUACUGAUGGGGGACCCUUAAUAAUAUAUGAUGGUGCCAUAGGUCUAUAACUUAGGGACUACUACUAACAACUAGUGCCUAACUGACGAGGGAGCGGCCAUCCCUGUAUUCAAUCGGUGCUAAGUGGUACUCUAACUAAAUGGCACUGCUAUUAUUAUUAUUUGUUCAAUAUAAUUUGGUACUGAUAAGUGCUCAAUAUGAAUAUGAUAGUUCUAAUAUAAUGAUACAAACAUGGUCUGAAUGACUGAUAAGUUUAAAAUCUAAAAUAUGCAUGGCUAUCAAGGUAUCAGGUGUUCAUAAUCCUCCAACACUGAAUAAUACUUUAAAUAUAAUAACAAAAUUUUAAAAACUAUUGGGAAACUCAUCAUUCAGAGACCCAAAACAUAGAUGAUAUCAAUAACUGAUAAAAACCAUGAUUAUAGGUAUGGAAAGAUGCUUAACUUAUAAGGACAACAUGCUAACAUGGUUAAAUUCAUAAAUUGGCAAACCAACAUAGUGUCAACUAAACAUGAUAUGAAUGACUAGGGUUAUAAAGCAUGCAAGAGUAUAAUUCUCAUGGGAAAACACAAUUUCAUUGUUUGUAUUCAGAACUAUUAUGAAAAAAACAAUUAAAUUUAUAUUAAAUAUUAAAAUUUUGUUAAAAGAGGGAAAAAAGUUUAUACUUGAAAAAUAAAGGAUUCUUGGGACUUAAUGGGUGAAAUGGAUCCGUUGAUGAAUAUCCCACAUACCUGAGUUGCCUGUAUUCAUGAAGAAAAGUUGGAAUUGAGACCUUGGAUGGUUGAAUUCUUGGAAAAAACUUUGAUUUUUGUGUUCUUAAGGAUGAGAGGGAAUUAUCAUUGACUGAUGAAGAAUGGGGUAAAUAAUGCCCCUCUUGAGUUUUAAAUCGUCAAUGGGGUGUUUAGGUAGAGGGGAAAAUACCAAAACACCCUCACCCAUUUAAUGAAAAUUACAGGAUAACACGACCUACAUGGCACGAAGGCAAUCAUGGAGGCUAGUAUCUGUGACACACUAUGUAUCGUGGAAGGCCAGUCUCUCUAGCACAUUGAAAUCGUAGUGGAAUGCUGAAUCCGUGGUCCAAAAACACCCCAAACCUCUUUUAAAAAUUCUAAAACUAGCUUUUUUCCAACAAUCCUUGCUGAUUUUGAUGCCAAAAUAACCUUGCUAGCACUGGCUAGCCACAUACAAAGCCUGACUAGCUGCCUAGUGCUCUCAUGAUAGAAGAUUUUUCAUCAUUAAUCCAAAAAACUAAUAAAUCAUUAUUUUAUAAUGAUAUAUCUAUAACCCAGUUGUAAAAUUUUUUUGCUGAGCUUCUCAAACCAGUGUACUAAAGGGGUGAAAGGAUGCUAAUUUUCAAAAGAAUUAAUCUAUCCCCUUCAAAUAAUAUGAUUUAGUAAUGGGGUUCCAAGGGUAGUAUGGACUGACGAUGAGGUUAAUAUAAUGUAUGUUUCGGAGGAUUUGCAGUAUGAUAUCAUAGGUAUGUUUUCAUAUGUAUGGCCUGAGCUUGUUGAUCUAAGGGCUUAUUUACUAGACAACUAAAGCUACAAAGUGAUUGCAAGAUAGGCUAUUUAAGAAUCCAUCAUAUUUUGUUAAGAUUCGAUCUAGCUGAGGAUUUUGUUAAUGUGAUGGCAAAGACCAUAUAUUACAUUAAUGAUAGGGAUGGAUAUUCAUAACAAAUGAGGCCACUGAUUUAUGACGCUAAGUUCACAGCAGAGGAAGAAAUUAUGCAGCCAAUGGCAUGGAUUUAUUUCCUAAAUUUAAAACCAACUUUCUUUGAAAAUGAGUCUUAUUUUUCAUUGGCAUCAAUUGUAGGGNNNNNNNNNNNNNNNNNNNNNNNNNNNNNNNNNNNNNNNNNNNNNNNNNNNNNNNNNNNNNNNNNUCAUCCACUAUAAACAAGACUAAACGUAGUUGUGCUAGGGUAAAAGUUCAAAUUGAUCUACUAUCAAAAAUUCCUGAUUAUUUGGAGCUUAAAAUUGGUAAUGAGAAAACAAAGAAAUCAAGAAUAGAAAAAAUUACUACCAAUUAUCAUUUCUUGUCUAAGUAUUGUAAAGAGUGCAAACUCCAAGGUCAUCGUGAAUCGGAGUGUAGAUUUCCACAUCCAGAUCUGAGACCAUCAUAUGAAGAAGAGAAAGUUAAGAAAGAUCAUAGCCAGAAUAUGGAUACUGGAGGUAGCAAGACAAGGUUUAAGGAUGGAAGAAGAAAUAGAUAAAAUUUACACUGGAAUCCUACCAGGUGCAGGCUUAUUAAUAAUGAUUUCUUAAGUGAAAAAGCAUUGACACAAAAGAAAUGAUUACCUGAUACUAAUCUUUUUAUUGCAUUGGGAGAAAUGGAGGAUGAAACUUUAAAAAAUAAUAAUCAGUCAACACUCUCACUAAUAUCAAAGUGGAAUACAAAGAAGAAAAAUAAUAAAUUAAGGACUGGGUGACCAAGUCUUUCCAUGAUCUGUCAUCUAAGAGAGUAAAAUCACUGAAAGAAUGACCUACCAGAGAAGAACAAGAAACUGAAACUCAAUUAGUAAAGUUAGACAAGGAGCAUAGUGUGGAAGUUACAGAUACAGAGGUGAAUCCUACAGCAAUAAUGAUUUAAAGGGAAGUAAAUUCUCAUACAGUGCAAUAAAAAUCUUUAGAUCAAUGAGCUAAUAUUAAAUCCUAGAGCUCAAUAGCAGUAAAAAAAUCAUUUGAUGUUGUGAAUCAAUUAAAGUAGUUUGAGUAGUCUCAAAGCCAAAGUAAAGGGUGAAGAGUAACUGUGAGAAUGUGAUAUCAACAAUAAUUUCAUCAUCUACAAGAUCAAAGGUGAAAGAAGGUCAACAGGAUAAUGAAAGGCAAAACAUAACCUCUAAUGAGGAGAAUUAGUUAGCUGUAGUGGACAUCCCUUUGGAUAUUCAUGAGUCUUUGGUUUAGGGUGUGACUCAACAUCAUAACUCUCUCCAUGUAUCAUAAUAUAGAAAUUAAUGAUGGAGUUAAGCGAAUUGAGGAUAAAUAAAUUAGUGGAAGUAGUGAGCAUGACAUAAUCAAGCAAGGGGAUUUAUCUCCCAGAGUAAUUAAGGAUAGUAAGGCUGGAAGGAAAUCAAAGAAGCUGAAUAAUGAAGAAGAUUCUAUACCUAUAAGAGUUCAACUGAAGAAGAGUGGCGUCUCAAAAUAAUCAAAGUACAAAUAAAGGCUUUAGUAUGGAAUAUCAGAUCUGUGUAAGUCACAAAAGGAUUUUCAAGGGUUCAAUUACUGCAUAAGUUUCAUAAGUUUGAUUUCAUUGCCUUAAUGUAGCCUUUUCAACAUAUAAGAACUAUCCAAAGGUACAAGAAUAGAAUACAUAUGCCUAUAGCUUAUUACAAUUAUUCAGGAAGGAUAUGAUUCUUUGUUAAUCAUGGUUUAAAUGGUAAUAUUAUCAGUGAUACAAAAUAAUAGAUAACAUGUCAUUUGACUGAUAUAACCACAGGUUUGCGUUUUCUAUUGACAGCUGUGUAUGCUAAAUAUGAUAUGUAUAAAAAAUUAGUGCUUUGGGACGAUCUACUUAUUGUUGCUAAUGCCAAUUCAAAACCUUUGGUAAUUGGGGGAGAUUUUAAUGUUGUUCUUAAUAGUGUUGAAAAAAUUGGAGGUAAUCUUGUGAUAUUUGUUGAUGUAGAAGAUUUUCAUCACUGUAAAGAAGUUUGUGGUAUUGUUCAAGUGAUUUAUAAGGGCAACCCUUUUACUUGAUGAAAUGGGAGAAGAGGAGCUGAUUGUACUUUUUAAUGGUUAGAUAGAGCCUUUGUUAACUCUGAAUUUUAAAAUUUGUUUUCACACUUAGAAAUAGAGCAUUUUCCAAGAGAUGGAUCAGAUCAUGUCCCUCUUUUUCUUAAAUAUGAAAAUAAUAAUACUACAAUUAAUAAACUUUUAGGUUUCUAAAUUCUUGGACCCUACAUAUAGAGUUUAAGGAAGUGGUUAGGAGUAGUUGGGAUACUAAUUAUCAGAAUAAUCCUUUUUCAGAUUUCAAAAAAAGAUCUAGCAAGUGAAAUAUGUUAUCUCUAAGUGGAGUCAACAAUUUUAUGGUGAUAUUAUUCAACAACUACACAUUUGAGAGAAAAUUGCUAGAAUAAAUGAGACGCUAUUUAAAUAUAAUCCUAUCUUGAGAAUCAGAUUGUUAUGUAGAAGGAAAAAGUUAAAUUUAUCAAAUAUCUUCAAAUAGAAGAGUGUUCUUAAAAACAGAAAGUAGGGUAUGACUGUUUGAAAGUGGGGACAUAAAUACCAACUUUUUUUAUAAUAUUAUCAAAGGAGGGAGAAAUAGGUUCAAGAUUUAUAGAAUAUUAAAUGAUCAGGUGAUCAAAUAGAUGAAGAGGCUAUUCAGUUUUUUAAGAAUAAAUUUACUCAAGAAAGAGAUACAACAACCUUCCCACUAAUUGAAUAUGUCCCUAAGUUGGUGAAUAAUGAAGAUAAUGAGAUACUACAAGCUAUUCCAGAAAAGGAAUAAACGAAGAAGGCAAUGUUUAAUUUGAAUGGAGAUAGUGCAAGUAAACCAAAUGGUUUAACUGGGACAUUUUAUUAGACAUUCUGAGAUAUAGUUGGUGAAUAUGUAGUCAGACCGGUAUUGAAAUUUUUUGUAGGAAAUUCACUCCCUAAAUCUAUUACUCACUCUAAUUUUGUUCUCAUUCCAAAAAUAUAUGAUAUUCAAUCUUUCUUAGAUUCGAGAUGAAUUAGCUUGAGGUAUUUUAUGAGUAAGAUUCUAUCCAUAAUUAUGCAUGACAAAUUGGAAAGCAUUCUUCCUAGAUUGAUCUCCCUAAUCAUUCAGGCUUUAUUAAAUGGAGAAGUAUCAUAGAGAAUGUUGUAUUAACACAGAAAUUGAUUGCAGAUAUUUGAAAAGAUGGAAAAACUUCUAAUGUAGUCAUGAAAUUAGAUAUGGCCAAAGCUUAUAAUAGAGUCUCUUAGUUCUUUCUAAUGAAAGUGAUGAGGAAGAUGGGGUUUGCUGACAAUGUUGUUGAUAUAAUUUGGAGAUUAAUUUCUAAUAAUUAGUACUACAUACUAUUGAAUGGUCAAUUAGUGUGUUUCUUUUAUUUAACUAUAGGGUGAAAAAAAGAGACCCUUUAUCUCCCACUUUGUUUAUUUUUUCAUCAGAAGUGAUGUCAAGGUUCUUUAAUCAUUUGUUUGAUGAUAUUUGGUUUACUGGUUAUGGAAUGCUUAAAUAGAGAUCCAAUUUGAAUCAUUAGUCUUAUGCAGAUGAUACAUUUACAUUCUCCACUCAUCAAUAUUCCUUGGAGAGUAUAAUGCAAGUGUUAAGAGAAUAUGAGACUAAAUCUGGCCAGAAGGUGAAUAUGAACAAAAGUUUCUUUUAUAUGCAUUAGAAAGCAUCAAUGGGUGAAGUUCAAAUAGUGGAACAGAUAUUGGUAUGAAAUAAGGCAGUUUUUCAAUUAAAUAUCUUGGUUGUCCUUUGACUCAUUCAAAGAGGAACAAAGAAUAUUUUGCAAAAUUAAUCAAAAUGGUUCAGAGCAAACUCCAAGCAUUGAAUAGAAUAUUAUUAUAUAGAGGGAAGGAGGUUCUAAUUAAAAGCAUUCUUCAAAGCAUACCUAUUUAUAUUCCUUUUUUCUCUAGGUCCUUCCAAAAGCUCAUCAAAUAUCUACAUAGGAUCUUUGCUAAAUUUUUUCGGAACAAUAAGGAAUCAGGAAGGGAAAAGCAUUGGGCCGCUUGGGAUAAUGUAUUUUACCCAAAAAUGAAGGGGGUUUGGAUUUUAGAUGUCUGAAAGAUAUCUCUUUGGAUUUAAAUGCUACACUAUGAUGGAGGUUUAGGAAUUAAAGAAAUCUGUGGGCAAACUUUUCAUGAAAUAAGUAUUGUAAAAAAUAAUUUCCUACCAUGGUGACCUUGAGAGGAGGAACACAAGUCUGGAAAUCCAUGUUGAAUGCUAGGGACAAGGUGGAAUAGUUUUUGUUGUGGGAACCUAAAAGUGUACAUCCGUAAUUUGUUUGAUAAUUAGACCAGUUCUGGUCCUCUAUUUAAACAACAAUCUAAUGUCUCUACAUAUUACCCUCUAAAAGACAAUGCAAUAUUUAUGAGGGAGGAUGGAUAUAAUUAUAAAGUUAUGGAGAAUGAGAUUUCGGAUAUCAUGGUGUAAUAGGUUGGGGACACUUAGGUUGUUUAUGCUAUAAUAAGGAGAUGGAUAAACUUUGGUGGACUAGAAAUAGCAAGGGUAUAUUUACUACUAAAAGUGCUUCGGAAUUAUUUAGGAACAAAGAAGAGGAGAAAGAAUAUUUGAAGUCCAUCUGGAUUAAAGAAGGCCUUUUAAAUAAUCCUUUAUGACUUGUAGUAUAUGGAACUCUUAUAUUCCAGUUGCAGUAGUCAUGCAUCAGUGGAAUUCUGAGAUUGAUGAAAGGUGUGGCUGUUGUACAGAACCACAAGUAGAAUCUAUUCAACAUCUAUUCCUCUAGGGAGAAGUAGCUGAAAUGGUAUGGAAUUUAUUCUGUAAUGCAGUUAGUAUUGUAGAGCAUAGACUAAAUUUGGUGUAGAGUGUCAAGCUAUGGAGGAAAGGGAAUGGCGAUCAUAAAUUUAUGACAGUGUUUUAUGUUGUUCUAUUGUUUAUGUUUUAGUUUCUAUGGAAAAGAAGGAAUACUAUAUUGCAUAAUGGUAGAUAUAAGGAUAGAAAUAUUACUUGGGACACUACUAAUUCUAUCAUUAGUUUAUCAAACUCAGAUUUCACAUGGAGUUGCAUGGAAAAAAUUGGGUUGAAAUUAUUUAUAUUUUGCAUAGUUAUGGAGAUUCAUACUUCUUAAAGUGAUUAAGUGAAAACCUUAAAAAACUGGCUGGUUUAAAGGCAACCUUGAUGGUUCCUCACAAGGAAAUCUAGGUCUAAUCUCCAUUGCUUUCUAUAUAGGAGAUAAUCUGGGAGAUCUAAUUGUUGCACAGGGGUGUAGAAUAAAGGAUAGAAAUAGUUUUAUGGCUGAGGCAUUAGCUAUACAAAAUUGUUUACAAUAUUGUUCUAUAAAUAAUCUAAGGCAGGUUAUUAUGGAAACAAAUUCUUGGAGCAUGUUCCAAAUACUGAAGGGUGAAUGGGAAGUCCCAUAGAGUGUGACAAUGGUGGUCAACUCCAUUUGAACUCUGAUGGAAUAUCUAAAAGUUAGAGUGAUAUAUUCCCUUAGGGAAGGUAACACUCUAGAUGAUUUUUUUUUGCUAAUCUAGUUUUUGUUUUUGUAGGUAAUUUUGAAUUCAAUAACAUUGCACAAUUUCUGAUUUAAGCAAGAACAAUAAUCCAAUUGGAAAAACUUGGAAUUCCUAAUAUUAGGAGGAUCAACAAGGCACAAGAAGAACAAACACCAAGUUGAUUCAAAAGGAAGAAAGGAUUUAAAUUUUCAUUUAAAAGGAUAGUCACAAGUAGAGAGAAGAAGUUAGAACAGUUACCUGUUGCUGGGAGUGAAUUCCACAAAACAUUCCACGUACGUCUAGUGAGAAUUUGGGAUGGUGAAGGCUAGAUAUUCAAAUAACAGUAGCAACAGAUCUACCAUGGACUUCGAUUUAGAAAUGAAUAGAUUAUCUAUAUGAAGAUGAGGAUUAAUAGUUUUAAAAAAUCCUUUAACUCAUUAAUUUAAUCAUUGUAGCUCAGGUGGUGGUAUCAGCUUCAAUUGAAGCAAAACCCAUCGAGCUACAUGAUUGAAGAACAUAAGAAAAAGGAUUGAGGUACUUAGAUGAGGCAAAUCAGUGAGGAUUUGAGCUAGAAACAACACAACAUCAUCGAUUUCAACAAGGGAUUUUCUUGGAUUUUAACAGCAGCGGAGGAUGAUGAAGAGUUGCUCUACUGUUGAUUUGAAAUGUGAUUAGGGUCUCUUGUUUCAUAAUUUGUUUAGCUUCUUUUGAUUUAGAUUGUCGGGUUGGGCCGGGACAAUUUUGGGCCUGAAUAUUGUGAAGAUUUGAUUUAUUUGGUUUUAAUAAAUAGGUUGAUGCCCGAAACUUUAAUUAAG